RNAcentral lists this long non-coding RNA (7687 nucleotides) under Gossypium barbadense (sea-island cotton). RNAcentral describes it as "long non-coding RNA (GBAR_LNC001114)". Lineage: Eukaryota; Viridiplantae; Streptophyta; Magnoliopsida; Malvales; Malvaceae. The record is from RNAcentral.
AUUACUAUCCUCCAUGUCCUCAACCAGAACUAACAAUGGGAACCACCAAUCACAAAGACAGUAACAUCAUUACCAUUCUUCUGCAAGAUCAAAUGGGUGGCCUCCAAGUUCUUCAUCACAAUCAUUGGAUUGAUGUCCCUUGCAUACCUGGAGCUUUGGUAGUAAAUGUUGGAGAUCUUCUACAGCUUAUAUCAAACGACAAGGUCAAAAGCGUGAAUCACAGGGUGUUGGCGAAACGAGCAUGGCCUAGAAUAUCAGUGGCAUGUUUUCUGAGAAUGCAAGCGAAUAACAAAGGAAAUGAAUCGAGACUUUAUGGACCAAUCAAGGAACUGUUGUCUGAAAACAAUCCUCCAAUCUACAGAGAAAUCUUGAUCAAGGACUAUUUGUCACAACAUUACUCAAAAGGGCUCAGCGGUAGCGAUUCACUUUCACAUUUCAAGCUGUCUGAAAAUUAGUCUACGUAAGAUCAUUGCAGGCAAAACUUAUGAGUUGCAGAAGAGAUAGUAGUUCUUAAUUACUUUUUGAAUAAUUUAAAUUUGUAUACAUAUAUGAUGAACAAGUUAAGCACAAGUAUGUUCUGCCUUUGUCCCUGUCCGUACAUUGCUCUGUUUUUAAUCUUUAUGAAGAAAAAAUAGUGGAUAGUGAAGAGUAUGGGACCAAGCAGCUAUCACUGGUAUCAUCGUUUUCGACGUGGCUGAUUAAUAAACAAAUUUCCAUCCUUUUCUGAAUCGUUUUUUUCGAAAUUGAAUAAAAGGAAUUGAUUAAUUAUAAAAAUAUUCAGGUGUAAAAUCUUAUAUAAGAAUGAUCUAUUUUAUACAGUGAUUAUUAAUGCUGCUAACUUGACCGGCAGUAUCAUCCCUCAUCAUUACCCAAUGAUUAUAUAUUUUAAAAAAAAUAAUUAUUUUUGUGCCGUUACUGUGUCUAAUGACACCAGUAUGUAUUUUCUCAAAUACCCUUUAAAAAUAUGAGUAACUAGGGAGGAAAAAAUUAAUAUUUUAAUAGGUGUCGUUUUCUUCUUUAGCGGCAGCAGAGAAAUUUUAUUUUUAAAAGUGUCAAAUAAAAAGUCAAUAUACUUUUCGAUGCCGCCAUUCUUCUUGGUGGCACUGAUGUCUUUUCUAAAAAAAUAAAUUUUUAUGUCGUUGAUCUAUUAGGUAACCCUGUUAAAAUUUUUUAAAAACUCAAUAAUAUGAACAUUAAAAAUUCUGACAAAACUCAUUGAAAAAUUUCAUUGCAUCGCUAAAGAAGUGAGUAGUAAAACAAGACAAAACCCACAAAAAAUAAACAUGGAAAAGAAAUAUAUACCUAGAAAAGUUUUUUUGCAAGAGUAGAGUAAUGAAGCGAAAACUUUGAAAUCUUCACUCUUUAAGAAAAUAUAUUGAGAAUGAAAAUUUAAGAAAAAUUGAAAGUUUGUUUCAAAAUAAAACUUCUUUUUGAAUAUUUCAGCAACAUAUAAAGUUGAACCCAAUUUUAUUAUAAAAAUAAUUAUUAGUUCUAUUCAAUGUCUUGUAAGUUGAACACAUUUAAAAUACUUUAACUUUUAAUCUGUGUGUAGAUUCUCAAUAUUGAGAAUUAAAAUAUUGUCUCAAGAAUCUACAUUGAAUAGAACUAUAAAGGAUACAAGAGAUCAAUGUUAUGAAAAUGCAAUGUGGUUUUCACGGGGAGGAUCUUUGGGAGCAACCAUUAAAGGAGGAGAGUGAACAGAUUGCCCAUGUUUAUUUUAAGGACAUGCUGGUUGGGUUCAAAAGAUUGAUAGGGCAGGUGGUGCAGGACAAGGAUGAGGAUGAUGUUUAGUUGCUUGAGGGGGACAUGAUUGUUGGAAUAGAGGACAACAUGUCGACGAUUAUAUUUUCUGGUCGUGUUCACUAGAUUUUGUAUAAGAGCAUGUCAAAAACGAUCAUGGAUUUAUAGAAUGAUUAUUAUUUGGUUAAGCCAUAGGAGGUUAUGUUUGAACUUUUACUGAAGGUCCGUGGAUAGUGUUUGGUCAUUAUCUCACGGUGCAACCUUGGUCUGAAUAUUUUUCCAUGAGUUAACCAUUCUCAUCUAGUGUCGUCGUAUGGAUUCGAUCCCCAGGUGUUUUGGGCUUUAUGUAUAGAAGAAGUGUAAUUAAGUUGAUUGGGGAAAUAGUUUGCGGGGCAAGUUUGUUCGUUUGGAAUUUAUGGUUAACCUGAAUAAACCAUUACUAUCUAGGAUUAAAGUAGAUGGUCAAGUGUAAAGGGUGGAGUAUGAAUCUCUUCCUAACACAUGCUUUGUGUAUGGUCACUAUGGUCAUAUGAAAAAGCUGUGUCCGGCUUUUUAUUUUCAGGAGAAGCAAGGAGGUGAUGAUGUUGUAUUGCAUUCGGUUACACUCUCAGUGGACUUAAGGUUAAUCAUGAAAGAAUCGAAGAGUAUGGUCCUUGGAUGGUAGUUGAUCUGUGUUCAAGGAGAGCUGAUCGGAGUAAGGGCUCUGACAAGGAUGACAAGGUAAGUGCAAAUCUUUAGGGAUCCCGAUUAAUGCUCUGCAAGAUUUAAGGGAAAAUGAAUUAGGGAAUGUGCAGAUUUCUAAGUGUGGAAUUAUUGCUAAAUCUAAGGGAAAAGGUUUGGCCAUUUAUGAUAAUCCAUUGGGGUCGGUGAUUCAAUUAUGGAUCGUGACAAUGGGAAGGGAUUUGGGUCGUGUUGAUUUGUUAAGGCCUCUGAGAUUGUCAACAGGAAAGGCUGUGUCUUUGGGGACUCGUCUAAUAGGUCUAGCGGGUCCACUAUUAAUUCUACUAUUAAUAAGGGAAUGGGCCAGAUUGGGAAUGAUAUGUUUUCUUUGGUUAAUUUAGGGGUUAAUGCCCAACUUGAAGAUAAGUGAACUUCGUUGCAAGAUAACACUUCAUGACAAAUUGAAUUGACGACGAUUGGGGGUAGAGGUGUGUAUGGGCCAGGCCACCCGGCCCGACCCGAAGGCCCGCCUGAAAUGUGGGAGGGUUUGGGCAAAAAUAUAGGCCCGAAAAAUAGGCUUAGGCAAAAAAAUUAAGGCCCGUUUAAAAAACGAGCUGAGCCUCGGGUAAGGCAUUUUUUACUCGGGCCAUGCUCGAAUUCACUAAAUAACAAAAAAAAUUAUAUUUUAAAAAAUUAUUUUCUUAUUAUUUUCUCCCUAUUUUGCUACUAUUUUACUAUUAUGUUGCUACUAUUUUGUUGUUAUUGUUUGGAUAUUGUAUAAAACUUAUUUUAUUGUUAAUUUUUUUAUUAUUUUAAAGAUAUUUGUUAAUUUUAUUAUUAUUUUAUAGGCAUUUGCUUGUUAAGUUGUAUCUAUUUUAGUGUUAUUUAAGUAUACAUAUUUUUAAAUUUUAUUUUCAAUUUGUUGAGAAAUAUUUAUUUUGAUAUUUUUACUAUUUUUGAUGGUUUAUAUAUAUAUUUUAAAAUUAUAUAAAAAUAAUAUAAAAAUUAAUAUAGGCGGGCUAAGUCGAGUUUGGGUUUUAACAUUUUUAUUCGGGCCAAGCUUGGGCAAAAUUUAUGCCUAUUUUUCGGGCGCGACGGGCCUGGGCCUAGCAAACAGGUCUAAAUUUUUAGUUGGGCUCGACCCGAACCCGGCCCGGCCUAGCCCAUGCACACCUCUAAUUGGGGGGUCUAGUUCGUUGGUGGAAAAAAUCAUGAGGACCACGCUUAAUGUGGAUAAUCAUUCUGUGAAAAAAAUGUGAUUGUUAUAACUAUUAAAAAAAUAUUUUUUAAAAAAGGGUGGCCGAAGAAGUUGUUAUUACAACUAUUAAAAAAGAUUUUUUUAAAAUGUAUACAACUUUUUCAAUAAAGGGCGGCUAUUACAACUUUAUUUCAUUCAACUUUUUCAAUAAACGGUGGCUGUUAAAUCUUUAUUUUAAGGGUAAAGUGUCUUAAUUACAACUAAAAGAAAAUAUUUUAAAUUUAUUUAUUUUUUCUAAACCUCUGUUCAUCAAUCAAUUCAACGGACAUUUUAUUUAGAAACUUUUUAAUAAUCACAGUUUUCCUUAUAAUAAUCACUUUUUUUAAAAAAUUAAAUUGAUCAUUUAUCAACUUUAUUAUAGAGGAAGGGAUGUUGUUGGAGAAGAAAGAGAAAAAAAAGGAAAGAGCUUUAUUAUGAGAUUUUAGUAACGGUGAUGAUGUUUCUUCUUCUUUGUCUCACGCUUAUAAAAGUGUAUUUCUUUUUGCUACACUAGACUAGAGAAUGGAUGACAAAAUUAUUUGUUUUUUUAAAAAAUUUGGUGCCACAUGAUAGAACGACAACGCACAAUUUUUUUAAAAAUUUAUUUAGUGCAGCCAUAGAAGCUGGCCACCCAUUAAAAAAUAUAUUUUAAAAAAUCUCUAGUGUCGCCAAAGAGGUCGGUGACACCAAUUAAUUUCUUUUUCUUUUUUUUUCUCCUAAAUAUUCGUAUUUUUUAUGGGUAUGUAGAAAAAAUACAUACCGGUGCCACUGGAUAUAAUGGUAGCACCCAAAAAUAUAUAUUUUUUUAAAAGAAUGAUAAUUGCCUGAUGAUGAGGGGGUGAUGUCACCAAUGGGUAUAACGACAUCAGCGUGCACAGUAGAAAACAAAUCAUUCUCGUACAAUUUUUGGUGUUGAGUUAUUUUCAUAAUUAAUUAUUUUAUUUAGGUCAAUUUAAAUAAAAAAAUUAAAUAAACCUCAAAACUCAAAAUCAAAACAAAUUUUUUUAAAAUUUUAAAAAUCGAAUUUAGGGAUGAGAUGGAAGAAAUUAGUUUAUCAUUAAAAAUUUUGUUGGGUUAGUAUCAAGUUUAAAAAAAAUUAUCUUACUCUGUUAUGAUAUAUUUACAAAAUACAUCUCUUUUAAUUUUAUAACUAUUUUCCUGUUUUUAAUUAUAAUUCCAUAAUUUUAUAAUAUGACUAACAUAUAUUGUAAUUUUAUAAAUAUUAUUAAUUUUUAAGGUUUUAUAAUGCAUGGUUUAAUUUUGUAAAAUUUAAUAGAUUAUAAUUUCGGAGCAUGGGACCAAGCAGCUAUCAUCAGUCUUAUCGUUUUCGACGUGGCUGAUUACCAUCCGCAUUACUGAUAAACAAAUUUCCAUGCUUUCUAACCUCAUUUGUCAUUCUCAGAAAAUUUCAAAUGCUUUUGUUACAUUAAAACGGAAGGAACAAAACACAGUUAAAAAAUGGUGGUCACCAGUGGAGCUGACGUUCAUGAUGAUUCCAACAACUACGACAAAGAAAAGGAACUGAAAGCAUUCGACAAUUCAAAAGCCGGUGUCAAAGGUCUGGUAGAUGCUGGAAUCACUAAGGUUCCUCGUAUGUUCAUCCGUUCAGACAUUUCAUCGAACACUUUAGAGACAACCAAGAAAACCCAAUACAAUAUUCCAGUUAUUGAUCUACAAGGGAUCGAAGAUGAUCCACGGCGGCAUAAAGAGAUCAGUGACGAAGUCAGGCAUGCAUCAGAGACAUGGGGCUUCUUCCAGAUUGUCAACCAUGGGAUACCUGUAAGUGUUCUUGAAGAUCAUAUUGGUGGUCUCCAAGUACUUCAUGAAGACAAAUGGAUUGAUGUGCCUUGUUCUCCUGGGGCUCUAGUGAUUAACAUCGGUGAUCUUUUACACGUUAAUCCGUUGUCACUCCCGACUCUUUAUUUUCCUUAAAGCACUCAUGUCUAAAACUUAUGUCUUGAAUGCUAGUGAAUAUUUGGGAAAUUUCAACUUAUUUUUUCAGCUUAUUUCGAACGAUGCUUUCGUAAGCGUGGAGCACAGAGUGCUGGCAAACUCGGUCGGACCGAGAGUUUCAGUUUCAGAACUUCGGACCCCAGACUGUACGGUCCUAUCAAGGAACUGUUAUCAGAAGAGAAUCCACCAAAAUACAGGGAAACCACAGUGAGAGAUUAUGCUAUGUACUCCAAUGGAAGAGGGCUUGAUGUUGAUGAUACUUCUCCCUUGCUGCAUUUCAGGUUAUGAUCCCAUGAUAUGAAAUAUGAGCUUUAAGAACUGAAUAAUUUGGUAGAUUUCUUAUGAUUGAAUUGUGUAUUUGGCAUAUCUAGUUUCCUCCAUGUAAUGAAUGUGAUCAUAAUCAAUCAAGAUAAAUAUCGAUAUCGCUUUAUAAUUACUAUUUAAACCUACGAGUUGUUAUUGUAUUAGAUAUAAAUACUAUGAUAUCCUUAAAAUAAAAUAUAUUGGUAUGAUCCAUCAAUCAGGUUCCAACUCAAUUAAGAAAUUAACAAAAAAUUUUAUUUUUUUUACGAAGUAAAAUUAUAUUAUUAUGAACCAAGAACACUAUUAAUAUUGAAUCUUCAAUGUUACAAUUUUAACCAAAGUAUCAUUUAAUUUCUAUAUAAACUUUUAAUACAUUUAUAUAAAUUUUAAAUUAAUCGAGUUGAUAAAUCUUAUUUAAUUUAUUAACUGAAUUUGAUUUAAAUAUUAAAAUCGAAUCAAGUGAAAAUAAAUUUAAAUAAAACUAAAUAAAAAAUUAUUUAAAUUAAUCAAAUUUUCAAAUCAUAUUUUAUCGAUCUCAUUUGAUUUGAAUUUUUAAAUCCAAGUCUUUUGGUUGUAAUAGUUAGAAUUUUUUUGGUCUAGAUAAUGGCAUGUUUGUGGCCAAGUCAACGACGGCUUUGUGGAAAGGUUGCUUCCUUCAUGUCCUAUUAGUAACAUAGACUUUAGUUUGAUCCAAAAUUGCCUUAUUACACUAACAAUUUCAUUCAAAAAUCAACACCAUGGGCUCUUCCGGUGAAUUUCGGGUAGAUUCUAACCCGGACUACGAUCACGAAAGUGAAGUAAAGGCUUUUGAUGAUACAAAAGCCGGUGUGAAGGGAAUAGUAGAUUCAGGUGUCACACAAAUCCCUCGUAUAUUCAUAGAUCAAAGCCUUAUCCUUGAGAAGAAUAACACCGAUUGUUCCAAUAAUCAGCUUGGUGUCCCGAUCAUAGACCUCCAAGGCAUCGGUGGAGACUCGGCUCGCCAUGCCGAGGUGAUUAACCAAGUUCGAAAUGCUUGUGCGGAUUGGGGUUUCUUUCAGGUAGUUCACCAUGGGAUUCCUGCAAGCGUUUUGGAUGAAAUGAUUGAUGGGAUCCGUCGGUUUCAUGAACAAGACACCGAGGUGAAGAAACAGUUCUAUACACGCGAUGCAACUCGCAAGGUGUUGUAUCUAAGCAACUAUGACUUGUAUAAAUCGAAAGCUGCUAAUUGGAGGGACAGUUUGGGUUGUAUCAUGUCUCCUGAUGAUCCAGCUCACCCUGCAGAGUUGCCUCAAGUUUGCAGGUACGUGUUAGUACUAGGCUAUGUUACUCGAAUUCAGUUGUCAGUUGUAUCGUAUAGGUGACAUGUAUUGAGUUUUGUUGCAGAGACAUAGUGAUGGAUUACUCCAAGCAAGUAUUGACAUUGGGGUUCACACUGUUUGAACUGCUGUCUGAGGCUCUUGGGCUCAACCCUGGUUGCCUUAAUGAUUUGGGCUGCGCCGACUUACUGUUUGUAAUGGGACAUUACUAUCCUCCAUGUCCUCAACCAGAACUAACAAUGGGAACCACCAAUCACAAAGACAGUAACAUCAUUACCAUUCUUCUGCAAGAUCAAAUGGGUGGCCUCCAAGUUCUUCAUCACAAUCAUUGGAUUGAUGUCCCUUGCAUACCUGGAGCUUUGAUAGUAAAUGUUGGAGAUCUUCUACAGCUUAUAUCAAACGACAAGUUCAAAAGCGUGAAUCACAGGGUGUUGGCGAAACGAGCAGGGCCUAGAAUAUCAGUGGCAUGUUUUCUGAGAAUGCAAGCGAAUAACAAAGG